RNAcentral lists this non-coding RNA (24 nucleotides) under Arabidopsis thaliana (thale cress). Lineage: Eukaryota; Viridiplantae; Streptophyta; Magnoliopsida; Brassicales; Brassicaceae. The record is from RNAcentral.
UGUCAAGAUGGUCCAACAUGAUAC